This 466-nucleotide ribosomal RNA is filed under the name uncultured bacterium. RNAcentral describes it as "partial 16S ribosomal RNA". It matches the Rfam family "Bacterial small subunit ribosomal RNA", at positions 28 to 507 of the family's 1533-position model. The record is from RNAcentral.
GAUGAACGCUGGCGGCGUGCUUAACACAUGCAAGUCGAACGGAAAGGCCCAAGCUUGCUUGGGUACUCGAGUGGCGAACGGGUGAGUAACACGUGGGUGAUCUGCCCUGCACUUCGGGAUAAGCCUGGGAAACUGGGUCUAAUACCGGAUAGGACCACAUUUUGGAUGGUGUGGUGGAAAGUUUUUCGGUGUGGGAUGAGCUCGCGGCCUAUCAGCUUGUUGGUGGGGUAAUGGCCUACCAAGGCGUCGACGGGUAGCCGGCCUGAGAGGGUGUACGGCCACAUUGGGACUGAGAUACGGCCCAGACUCCUACGGGAGGCAGCAGUGGGGAAUAUUGCACAAUGGGCGCAAGCCUGAUGCAGCGACGCCGCGUGGGGGAUGACGGCCUUCGGGUUGUAAACUCCUUUCGCUAGGGACGAAGCGUUAUGUGACGGUACCUGGAUAAGAAGCACCGGCUAACUACGUG